GGGUCUAUUGGAAUUUAGGAGCAUAGGAAUUGAUGCAUAAUUGUUGCUCCAAAAUUUGAUUUUGAUGACUGCAAAAUAUUUGAGAGGAGUAUUAAUGAUUUUUGUUUGUAGAGAAGCUUAAAUGUGUAUUUUAGGAUAUUCAAGAAUUUUUGAAUGGAUAAAAUGCUUGAAGAAGACCAAAGCUACAAUUUCAUCAAGUUGG
RNAcentral lists this long non-coding RNA (202 nucleotides) under Elaeis guineensis (African oil palm). RNAcentral describes it as "long non-coding RNA (EGUI_LNC077718)". Lineage: Eukaryota; Viridiplantae; Streptophyta; Magnoliopsida; Arecales; Arecaceae. The record is from RNAcentral.